Long non-coding RNA from Benincasa hispida (wax gourd), 2089 nucleotides. RefSeq lists it as uncharacterized. The record is from RefSeq and is a predicted model, not a curated record. Lineage: Eukaryota; Viridiplantae; Streptophyta; Magnoliopsida; Cucurbitales; Cucurbitaceae.
UAGGUGUUAGCUUAUAGUGGAGACAUUAAGCCCACCUAGAGAGGGGAUUCUAGGUGUUGGGUUUUUAUGAAUUGAUUUCAGGCAAUUUUUGCAUGACAUUUUUCUAUAAAUAUGGGCUUUGAAUUUAGAUUAAAAACUUUGCCCAUUUUGCCCAUUUUAGUUUUAAAAAUUUGGGUUGGAAAAAUCACAAUUUUGGAGAAAAAAUUUCAACCCAAACCCAACCCAAAAUUUCAUUUCUUUUUCCAUCUCUUUCUCUCUUUCGGGUUCUUCAUUCAUCGGGUCCCACAACCCGGUUCUGAGUCCAGAGGAUAGUAGGUCAACUCUGGUGGCUCGAAAGAAUUCGGAUCGAGAUUCAGCGAGGAAAAGUGGUUUUCGGGAGCUUCAAAGGUUGAAUGAAAUAUGGACUAAAGUCCAGCCGUGCCGCUCGACCACUGCCCUCCGCCAGCCGUAUUGCGUGUCGACGUUCUCCGCCAGCCGAGUUUCUUCGAUUUUUCCGUUUUCGUUCUUGCGUCCGCCAGUUGCCGACCACUUCUGUUCUGCAAGAACUUGGUUUUGGGUGUGUUGUUGCUCAAUUCAAGAUUUCGAGAUAUUUUUCAAUUCUGUUCAGCAGCAUCAAAGUUCGCUUGGGUGCCUUUUGGUAAGCUAUAUUGGUUGUUCUGAUUUAAAUUUCGUUUUCCCUGUUGGUUUGGUGAAUGUUGAUGUUUAUUGGAUUUUAGAAUUUACUUUUGAAAUAUUUCAGCUUGGCUUAGGACUAUUUUGGAUUCCGUCCUUGGAGCUUAGUGUAGUUCUUGUUACAUCGGCAUUCUUUUGGGUGAGUGGUUUGGAGAUUUUUUGUGCAUUUUGGGUGAGUAGGUUGUGUUUAUAAAGAUUAACAUUAAGUUGAUUUAUUCUAGGGCAAUUUAAGCAUUUGACUCGAGUCAAACUGGGAUUUGGUUGAUAAUUGGAGUCUGGUUUAGAAGUUAGGCGUUUUAGAAUCUUCUGAAAUAUUCAUUGAUUUUAUUUAUUGAUUAUUUAAUUGUUAUUCAUUUUAAAGUCAGGUUAGGGGUACCCCAAAUUUUGUUAUGAUUUCUCACCCUUGCUUAUUUGAGCAUUUUUUUAAAAAUUAAAUAAUUUUUUUUCUUAUUUUUUUAUUUUAUUAUUCUUUGAGAAAAUGUAUUGUCAAGCCUAUGCAUGCAUAAGGUAGCGCGUCCUAGAAACAUAUUAGAAAUUUGGGUCGUUACAUAUACUAUUAUAUAUACUUUGAUGUAAAUAACGGUUUUUUUAUAUAUACUAGAAGGGGAUGUUUUUAUGCAGUAUACUAUAGUAUAUUUGAUUUCAAACUACUUGAAAUUCUAGAUUCUUAUUGGGAUUUAGGCAUUUGAAUUUAGGCUUUGAAAAUCUCAAGGAGGUUGUAUGAAACAUACUCCAAUAUAUUUUCUUUACAAUUCAAAUUUAGAAUAUAUUAUGUGAGAGAAAGAAUUGUGUAAGAUGAUAUUUAUAUACAGUGGAAUACCUGAUAUAUACUUUCAUAAUUUCAAUUGAAUAGCUUCCAUAUGUACUUAAGAAUGCUUGAUAUUUACGUUUAUUGCGUAUAUUCAUUAAAUCUUUGAAAGCCAUUGAUGGGAUGAGAAAUUCUGUAAAAUAUGAUAUAACUAAUAUGUAUUAUAGUGUAAUGAAUUUAUAUUUUUAGUUUUUAUGAUAACAAUUAAAUCUCAAUCAUGCACUAUUGUACAACAAAUAUUAAUUGUGUGGUAGGAUAAAUUGUGUAACAUGUAAUUUACGUACGAUUAUAGAAAAAUGGUUCGGUUAAAAUUGUUGGGUGAAAGUGCACGGACUCGACUGUCGAUGACGAUAGGUAGGGUGAUGACAACGAGCAAGGUGGUUGCAUCGGAAGGCGUGUCGAUGGCAAGGGCUUAACAAAGAAGAAGAGAUGAAGAUGAGAAGUUCAAAUGAGCACUUUUUUUUUUUUCCCCUAUAUAUACUGCGAUAUAUUAACUUCUUUCUUUUGGUGUUUAUAUAGGAGUUUUGAUAUAUACUAUGAUAUAUGUAUUCGUUUAUUUGAUAUAAAGGGGUGUGAAAAACAUUUUUUUUUUAUUAUUUAGACUUUCUA